This 71-nucleotide transfer RNA is filed under the name Ictidomys tridecemlineatus (thirteen-lined ground squirrel). RNAcentral describes it as "Spermophilus tridecemlineatus (thirteen-lined ground squirrel) tRNA". It matches the Rfam family "tRNA". Rfam says of the family: Transfer RNA (tRNA) molecules are approximately 80 nucleotides in length. The record is from Rfam by way of RNAcentral. RNAcentral also lists the same sequence under 1 other name. Lineage: Eukaryota; Metazoa; Chordata; Mammalia; Rodentia; Sciuridae.
UGUGUGUGGCUCAGCGGUAGAGCACUCACCUAGCAUGUGAGGGACCCUGGGUUCAAUCCUCAGCACCACAU